GGGGAAUUUUUCGCAAUGGGCGAAAGCCUGACGGAGCAACGCCGCGUGAGGGAUGAAGGCCUCUGGGCUGUAAACCUCUUUUAUCAAGGAAGAAGAUCUGACGGUACUUGAUGAAUAAGCCACGGCUAAUUCCGUGCCAGCAGCCGCGGUAAUACGGGAGUGGCAAGCGUUAUCCGGAUUUAUUGGGCGUAAAGCGUCCGCAGGCGGUCUAGUAAGUCUGUCGUUAAAGCGUGGAGAUUAACUCCAUUUCGGCGGUGGCAA
This 261-nucleotide ribosomal RNA is filed under the name uncultured cyanobacterium. RNAcentral's name for it is "partial 16S ribosomal RNA". It matches the Rfam family "Bacterial small subunit ribosomal RNA", at positions 356 to 632 of the family's 1533-position model. Lineage: Bacteria; Bacillati; Cyanobacteriota. The record is from RNAcentral.